This 511-nucleotide ribosomal RNA is filed under the name uncultured bacterium. RNAcentral describes it as "partial 16S ribosomal RNA". It matches the Rfam family "Bacterial small subunit ribosomal RNA", at positions 28 to 506 of the family's 1533-position model. The record is from RNAcentral.
GAUGAACGCUGGCGGCGUGCCUAAUACAUGCAAGUCGAACGAAACUUCUUUAUCACCGAGUGCUUGCACUCACCGAUAAAGAGUUGAGUGGCGAACGGGUGAGUAACACGUGGGCAACCUGCCCAAAAGAGGGGGAUAACACUUGGAAACAGGUGCUAAUACCGCAUAACCAUAGUUACCGCAUGGUAACUAUGUAAAAGGUGGCUAUACUACCGCUUUUGGAUGGGCCCGCGGCGCAUUAGCUAGUUGGUAGGGUAAAGGCUUACCAAGGCAAUGAUGCGUAGCCGAAUUGAGAGGUUGAUCGGCCACAUUGGGACUGAGACACGGCCCAAACUCCUACGGGAGGCAGCAGUAGGGAAUCUUCCACAAUGGGCGAAAGCCUGAGGGAGCAACGCCGCGUGGGUGAAGAAGGUCUUCGGAUCGUAAAACCCUGUUGUUAGAGAAGAAAGUGCGUGAGAGUAACUGUUCACGUUUCGACGGUAUCUAACCAGAAAGCCACGGCUAACUACGG